CCAAUUUUCUCACUUGUCUCUAUCUCUCUAUCUCUGGUUCUCUCUAGAACCUUUCCCCUCCCCUCCUCUCCGAUGAGUUCCCUUCAUCUUCUUCGGCCACCUCUUGGCCUGAAUCCAUGGUGGUUUCACCACCCACCAGCCUCCUACGGCUCCUCAUGUUUAUUAAUUAAGUUUCAUGACUUGACCACGCAGAGUUGGGUCCAUACCUCUGUUGAUUCAAGCUUUACGCCCAUCUCCGGCCCUGCUCUACCAAGCCAUGUUUGUUUCGAGCCUAGCCUCCACCCCUCCUGCUUAAAUCCAAGAUUUUCUCAUCGUUUGGGUUCCUCUGAAACCCCUAGAUUUUGAGGGUUUUUCUGAUCUCUUUUGAUCUUUUCCAGAUCUAUGCUUUCCCUAAGCUUUUAAGGGAUUUUCUUGAUUUUCUUUCAAAAAAAAAACUAUACUUUCAAAACCCUUUCUUUUCCGAUCUAGGGGUUUUAUGAGACAUUUAGAUGUUUCUCUGGUUUUCUCUCUCUUUUUUUUUGUGUGUUUCUUCUACUGUAUCUUCCUCUACUAUGUUCUUAUGUGUUUCUUCUAAUAUAUUUUCCUCUAUUGUAUUUUUGUAUGUUUCUUCUACUGUAUUUUCCUCUUCUGUGUUCUUGUGUGUUUCUUAUUAAGUUUCAUCUACUGUGUCCUAGUUAAGUUCCUUCUAAUAUGCUUCUCCUACUGUUCUUAUUAAUUUUUAUAUUAUGUUUUCUAUCAGUUCUUCUACUAUGUUCCUUUGAGUUCCUCUAUUGUGUUUCAUAUGUUGUUCUUUUACUAUGUUGUUCAUGAGUUUCUGCCACUAAAAGGCAUGUUAAAGGUCUCAGUUCCUUUCUAAGACCUCUGAACCUGUUUCAAGUAGUAUCUUUUACCCUGGUUAUCUGAUUUGCUGGCUCUUCAUCUUUUAACUUGCCUGAUAUCAAAAAACCUAAUUUUUGGGCCUAUCUACUGAUUCAUUAAGUUCCAAAAUCAUUGUUUCAAUUUUGUUUCUUCAUAUGAUUCUGACUGUUGCAAUACUCUAUAAGACCUUUCACUUGAUCCAUUAUCGCAUGCCUGAUUCUUGUGUACUCUUUAUAUGUGCUGAACUUCCCCCUCUAAAAUGGCUUUCAAAUAUUGAUUAGUUUCAGACUUCCUUCUAUAUAGUUUUGAUUGAGUUCUUUCCUUAUUUGCUGAUUUUCCUAUGACUCGAUUUAAGUUACUUGACUUUCCUUAACUUUUCUGACUUGGUUCAUUCAUGGACAAAUGAUUUCAAAAUCUCUGGUCCUUGAUUUAUUGGCUACUAAUUGACCUCUUACCUUAUUUAUGUAAUACGUAUAUUUCGAAGCUCUGCCCCUAAAAUAAACUUCUAUGUAUUUACCCCUAAUUGCAUACUUUGCACAAAAUGCUUGUUUGAUUUCUUUUCUUAAAUAACUUUUACCGUUCGAAUCUGAAUUCCUUAAUUAAAGGAAGUCUUGUGUUGAUUGCUUCUUAAUUGAUAUUCAGUUCCUUAACUAUUUUUUUACCUUGUUUCUGCAUGUUCUUCACACUAUAAAUACCUGCUCCUCAUUGACAUAAAAGGCCCUCACUUAUAGUCUUUCUGAACUUACACUUAUACGCAAUAGUAUUCUCUCUUCUUGUCUGCACUGUGGCAUGUUUACAAGACCUAAUCCUUUUCUUUAUUUGUUUCCUUGAAACUGGUUGUCCUGAUUUAAAUUUUAGCACCAUAACAAUGUGUUUAUUUAGUGCUUUUAUAACUAUGUCUACUUACUGUUUAUGUAUAGUUCAACAUUUAAAUUAGCAUGUUGAUUUCUUUCUGUCUGUUCUACUAUGAAUCCCAAAACCCCUGCCCCUAUGUGUUUGAGCUAUGGUUUAAGGCAUGUCAAUAUGCAAAUUAAUGUCCAUGAAUUAAACUUGAUCCCUUGGGAUCCUAGCCUCUGGUAGUGUAUUCUAACAGGCUUAUGGGUGUACUAGCUUCUCCAUUGCUAGGUAUGCCUAUAGCAUGUGUUACCUUUUUCAGUUUCCCUAUUCUCCCUAAACCCCCUUAUGUAUACUUAUCUGUAGCUAUUUCCCUCUCCUCUCCCCCUUUUGAAUUUUUUCUGCACUUGCACACUCUCUUAGUCUUUAAAUUCUGCCCCUCUUUUGUGAGCCUUGUCUUGGGACCCUUUGAGCUCCCUCUGAACCUGGAAACUUGAGGGAUGGCCCUUCCAUGCUGCACUUAUCCAAAUCUGAUAAUGUAUUUGGGUAUGAGCAUUAUGUGGAGUUUCUUUGAGGCUCUUAGGGAACUUUGACACAUCCAAAUGGAGAAAAGCUUUGGAUCAUGAUCUCAUGGAGUUGGUUUACCUCAUAUUUCAGACAUGAAGUCUGAAUCUGGCUCUCCUUGGUUGUACUUUCAUUUUUUGAAGUAUUUUACUUUAUUCUGGGCUAUAAUAAUUUGUAAUAAACUCUUGGGUAUGGCUAGAGAAAAGGGCGAGUAACUAUGUAUGCAAAGGGUAGAUACCAUAUCUAUAGGUAUUUCUAAAUUGUGCAUUUCUCACAUAGAUACCAUGUCUAUAGGUAUUUCUGAAUUCAGUAUUUCUCAC
This 2576-nucleotide long non-coding RNA is filed under the name Nicotiana benthamiana. RNAcentral's name for it is "long non-coding RNA (NBEN_LNC014571)". The record is from RNAcentral. Lineage: Eukaryota; Viridiplantae; Streptophyta; Magnoliopsida; Solanales; Solanaceae.